Molecule: ribosomal RNA, 720 nt
Filed under: Salmonella enterica
Lineage: Bacteria; Pseudomonadati; Pseudomonadota; Gammaproteobacteria; Enterobacterales; Enterobacteriaceae
Also listed under: 1 other name
Description: partial 23S ribosomal RNA
Rfam family: Bacterial large subunit ribosomal RNA
Source: RNAcentral
GAAAGACCCCGUGAACCUUUACUAUAGCUUGACACUGAACAUUGAGCCUUGAUGUGUAGGAUAGGUGGGAGGCUUUGAAGCGUGGACGCCAGUCUGCGUGGAGCCGACCUUGAAAUACCACCCUUUAAUGUUUGAUGUUCUAACGUGGACCCGUAAUCCGGGUUGCGGACAGUGUCUGGUGGGUAGUUUGACUGGGGCGGUCUCCUCCUAAAGAGUAACGGAGGAGCACGAAGGUUGGCUAAUCCUGGUCGGACAUCAGGAGGUUAGUGCAAUGGCAUAAGCCAGCUUGACUGCGAGCGUGACGGCGCGAGCAGGUGCGAAAGCAGGUCAUAGUGAUCCGGUGGUUCUGAAUGGAAGGGCCAUCGCUCAACGGAUAAAAGGUACUCCGGGGAUAACAGGCUGAUACCGCCCAAGAGUUCAUAUCGACGGCGGUGUUUGGCACCUCGAUGUCGGCUCAUCACAUCCUGGGGCUGAAGUAGGUCCCAAGGGUAUGGCUGUUCGCCAUUUAAAGUGGUACGCGAGCUGGGUUUAGAACGUCGUGAGACAGUUCGGUCCCUAUCUGCCGUGGGCGCUGGAGAACUGAGGGGGGCUGCUCCUAGUACGAGAGGACCGGAGUGGACGCAUCACUGGUGUUCGGGUUGUCAUGCCAAUGGCACUGCCCGGUAGCUAAAUGCGGAAGAGAUAAGUGCUGAAAGCAUCUAAGCACGAAACUUGCCCCGA